This 1601-nucleotide long non-coding RNA is filed under the name Hordeum vulgare. RNAcentral describes it as "long non-coding RNA (HVUL_LNC002917)". The record is from RNAcentral. Lineage: Eukaryota; Viridiplantae; Streptophyta; Magnoliopsida; Poales; Poaceae.
CCGCACAUAUUGUCAUUCAUGUAAAUGAAUAAGAUCAUGUGUACAUACACGAAAGAACAACCGAGUCAUGUGCACAGAUGAACGCAUACCAGCACGCAAAUGAUAAUUACAAAGUAGUAAUAAUCAUCAUGGGUGCAUGGAACAAGAGAAACUAAAAAGGGAUGGUGGAAUACAAGGAAUGCAAAAAAGAUGCAUCAUCACUAUCUCGCUAGCCGGAUACUAUGCCACUUAUUCUGGAAAUAGCACAUCGUGGCUCCGGACGGGGUCGAUCUCCUCCUCCUUCGGCUGUCAUAUGUGAGCAUCACAUCAAUUGUCAGUCAUCGGCGGCUUGCCCUUCGGAGGCGGCUCGGGCUUGGGUUCGGGUUCAGGCUUGGGCUCUGGCUUAGGCAUGGGUUGAGGCUUGGGCUCUGGUUUUGGCAUUGGGUAAGGCUUGGGCUCUGGCUUUGGCAUCGGCUCGGGCUUAGGCUCCGGCUUUGGCAUCGGCUCUGGCUUGGGUUCAGGUUUUGGCAUCGGCUCGGGCUUGGGCUCUGGCUUUGGUUCGGGUUUUGGCAUCGGUUUAGGCUCAGGCUUCAUCGGCUCGGGUUUGGGCUCUGGCUUUGGUUCGGGUUUUGGCAUCGGCUCUGGUUUGGGCUCUGGCUUUGGUUCGGGUUUUGGCAUCGGCUCUGGUUUGGGCUCGGCCUUUGGUUCGGGUUUUGGCAUCGGCUCGGGCUUGGGCUCUGGCUUUGGCUCGGGUUUUGGCAUCGGCUCUGGUUUGGGCUCUGGCUUUGGUUCGGGUUUUGGCAUCGGCUCUGGUUUGGGCUCUGGCUUUGGUUCGGGUUUUGGCAUCGGCUCUGGUUUGGGCUCAGGCUUAGGCUCAGGUUUUGGCAUCGGCUCUGGCUUGGGCUCAGGCUUAGGCUCAGGUUUGGGCAUGGGGUAAGGCUUGGGCUCAGGCUUCGGUUCGGGUUUCGGCAUCGGCUCGGGCUUGGGCUCUGGCUUUGGUUCGGGUUUUGGCAUCGGCUCGGGCUUGGGCUCUGGCUUUGGUUCCGGUUUCGGCAUCGGUUUAGGCUCUGGCUUCAUCGGCUCGGGUUUGGGCUCAGGUUUCGGUUCUGGUUUAGGCAUGGGCUCAGGUUUCGGUUCUGGUUUAGGCAUAGGCUCAGGUUUGGGCUCAGGUUUCGGUUCUGGUUUAGGCAUCGGCUCGGGCUUGGGUUCUGGCUUUGGCAUCGGCUCCGGCUUGGGUUCCGGCUUGGGCUCUGGCUUUGGCAUGGGUUCAGGCUUAGGCAUAGGUUUGGGCUCCGGCUUUGGCAUGGGUUCAGGCUUAGGCAUAGGUGUGGGCUCCGGCUUCGGCAUGGGUUCAGGUUUAGGCAUAGGCUUGGGCUCCGGGUACGGCGUGGGCUUGGGCUCUGGCUCGGGGAGCUUCUCGGCGAGGCCCCGGCCAGCAGCGGCCGCGAGGCUGAAGCCGGAGGCCGCGAGCAGCCCGACGAGGAGCACGGCAAGGAGGCUGUGCCUCGCCAUUGCUGCUUUCUCGCAGCUGUUGCUGCACUUGUGCUUCACCGCUUCCGAACCUCUCAACGGGCGAUGGAUAGAUAAAGUGGAUGUGGUGUGUGGUUCCUCUGAAUGGUGGU